CGAGGCCUAUCAGCAUGUUGGUGGGGUGAUGGCCUGCCAAGGCUUAGACAGGUAGCCGGCCUGAGAGGGUGGGCGGUCACACUGGGACUGAGACACGGCCCAGACUCCUACGGGAGGCAGCAGUGGGGAAUAUUGCACAAUGGGCGGAAGCCUGAUGCAGCGACGUCGCGUGAGGGAUGGAGGCCUUCGGGUUGUGAACCUCUUUCGCCAGUGACGAAGGCCUUGCCCGUGUGGUGGGGUUGACGGUAGCUGGGUUAAUUGAAGCGCCGGCUAACUACGUGCCAGCAGCCGCGGUAAUACGUAGGGCGCGAGCGUUGUCCGGAAUUAUUGGGCGUAAAGGGCUUGUAGGCGGUUGGUCGCGUCUGCCGUGAAAUCCUCUGGCUCAGCUGGGGGCGUGCGGUGGGUAGGGGCUGGCUUGAGUGCGGUAGGGGAGGCUGGAACUCCUCGUGUACGGUGGAAUGCGCAGAUAUCAGGAGGAACACCGGUGGCGAAGGCGGGUCUCUGGGCCGUUACUGACGCUGUGGAGCGAAAGCGUGCUGAGCGAACAGGAUUAGAUACCCUGGUAGUCCACGCUGUAAACGUUGGGCACUAGGUCUGGGGGGUCUUUCCGGGUCCUCCGCGCCGUAGCUAACGCAUUAAGUGCCCCGCCUUGGGAGUACGGCCGCAAGGCUAAAACUCAAAGGAAUUGACGGGGGCUCGCACAAGCGGCGGAGCAUGCGGAUUAAUUCGAUGCAACGCGAAGAACCUUACCAAGGCUUGACAUGUGCCGGUUGUCCUUCGGAGACGGAGGGUCCUCCCUUUGCGAGGGUCGGUUCACAGGUGGUGCAUGGUUGUCGUCAGCUCGCGUCGUGAGAUGUUGGGUUAUGUCCCGCAACGAGCGCA
Molecule: ribosomal RNA, 882 nt
Filed under: Actinomyces gerencseriae
Lineage: Bacteria; Bacillati; Actinomycetota; Actinomycetes; Actinomycetales; Actinomycetaceae
Description: bacterial SSU rRNA
Rfam family: Bacterial small subunit ribosomal RNA
Source: RNAcentral